AAGGUCUUAAGUUAAAUAAACUGAUAACCUUCAAAGCUAUAAAUAAAGAACAUAUCUUUAGGCCUUA
Molecule: transfer RNA, 67 nt
Filed under: Paraneotermes simplicicornis
Lineage: Eukaryota; Metazoa; Arthropoda; Insecta; Blattodea; Kalotermitidae
Description: tRNA-Trp
Source: RNAcentral